This 121-nucleotide ribosomal RNA is filed under the name Trichoderma sp. ARSEF 2160. Its description in RNAcentral is "5.8S ribosomal RNA". The stretch from base 64 to 121 matches the Rfam family "5.8S ribosomal RNA", at positions 1 to 58 of the family's 154-position model. Lineage: Eukaryota; Fungi; Ascomycota; Sordariomycetes; Hypocreales; Hypocreaceae. The record is from RNAcentral.
UUUCUGUAGUCCCCUCGCGGACGUAUUUCUUACAGCUCUGAGCAAAAAUUCAAAAUGAAUCAAAACUUUCAACAACGGAUCUCUUGGUUCUGGCAUCGAUGAAGAACGCAGCGAAAUGCGA